RNAcentral lists this transfer RNA (65 nucleotides) under Actinopyga lecanora. RNAcentral's name for it is "tRNA-Tyr". The record is from RNAcentral. Lineage: Eukaryota; Metazoa; Echinodermata; Holothuroidea; Aspidochirotida; Holothuriidae.
GACAAGGUGUCUGAAAAAGAAGGGGGUUGUAAACCCCUUAAUACGAAUGAGAGCUUCGUCCUUCG